ACUAACACAUGCAAGUCGAACGGGAUUCACCUUCGGGUGAUGAGAGUGGCGCACGGGUGAGUAACGCGUAUGCAACCUUCCCCAAUCAGGGGGAUAGCCCGGAGAAAUCCGGAUUAAUACCCCAUAUUAUUAUAGUUUCGCAUGGGACUUUAAUGAAAGCUUUGGCGGUUUGGGAUGGGCAUGCGUGGCAUUAGCUUGUUGGUGAGGUAACGGCUCACCAAGGCGACGAUGCCUAGGGGUUCUGAGAGGAUGAUCCCCCACACUGGUACUGAGACACGGACCAGACUCCUACGGGAGGCAGCAGUGAGGAAUAUUGGUCAAUGGGCGCAAGCCUGAACCAGCCAUCCCGCGUGAAGGAAGACUGCCCUAUGGGUUGUAAACUUCUUCUGUACAUGAAGAACGGGCCUUACGUGUAAGGUUAUGACGGUAAUGUACGAAUAAGCAUCGGCUAACUCCGUGCCAGCAGCCGCGGUAAUACGGAGGAUGCGAGCGUUAUCCGGAUUCAUUGGGUUUAAAGGGUACGUAGGUGGCCCUGUAAGUCAGUGGUGAAAACCUGCCGCUUAACGGUAGGCGUGCCAUUGAUACUGCGGGGCUUGAGUACAGAUGAGGUAGGCGGAAUGUGUAGUGUAGCGGUGAAAUGCAUAGAUAUUACACAGAACUCCGAUUGCGAAGGCAGCUUACUAAACUGCAACUGACGCUGAUGUACGAAAGCGUGGGUAGCGAACAGGAUUAGAUACCCUGGUAGUCCACGCCGUAAACGAUGCUCACUGGCUGUAUGCGAUACACAGUAUGUGGCCAAGCGAAAGCGCUUAGUUGAGCCACCUGGGGAGUACGCCGGCAACGGUGAAACUCAAAGGAAUUGACGGGGGCCCGCACAAGCGGGAGGAACAUGUGGUUUAAUUCGAUGAUACGCGAGGAACCUUACCUGGGCUAAAUGGGGAGUGACGGACGCUGAAAGGUGUCUUUCUUCGGACACUCUCAAGGUGCUGCAUGG
Molecule: ribosomal RNA, 994 nt
Filed under: bacterium enrichment culture clone aHCH2_C6
Lineage: Bacteria
Description: bacterial SSU rRNA
Rfam family: Bacterial small subunit ribosomal RNA
Source: RNAcentral